CUUUGCUAUCGUGUUUUUUUUUGUCAUUCGUAAAAUCGUAAGGAUGCUUUAACGUGGUCUUAUUCGGCCCAUUCCUAAUUUCCUUUACGUUAUAAAAAUUGGAGCCAAAAGAAAGAAAUUGGAGCGCAAUACAACCGAAAUUCGCAACUCCACAUACAACAGAUCAAUGUGCAAGAGUUGAAUGAAGAACGCAGCAUUUCGCUAAGGUGCAACGUGAUCUCAGAUGUUGGUAAGAAGCCAUCUGCAACCAGCAACCGUGAUAUAGGUGGGUGGACUUAAAAUGUGACACAUAAGCAGGCGGCAGUCUAAGAAGUUUGGAGUGAACCUCUGUAUCCUUUACUUCUUGAUCCUAUGGUAGAUUGAUGCUUGAUGCUGUUCUACUAUGAUAUGGGUUUCUGCAAUGGCUGGAUGACGAGCUUGAUCCGAGAAAGAAUCUUGAAGCUUCUUCUUGGCCUAAAUGUGCAAAAUCUUUACAUGCAUACCAGGUCCUUUGUGAUUGUUGCCUCUCUGGAAAAUGAGCUGUAACGGCUGCUAUUGUGCACAUGUAUAUGUUCUUUACAUCUCAUGGAUGAUUGAAACUUGAAAAUUCUCAGCUAGUUUUGGCCUGUGUGGUCUUUUUCUCUACUAGAACAUUUGCUGCUCGACGGGACCUAUUAUGGAGGUUCUGUUAUGAAUUAUGAUGUUUAAGGUUUGAGACUUUGAGAAUAUUGAUGUCUGUUGAAUGACUUCGAGUCCACACACGUACAUACAAAUUACACAGAUGUACAUACAAAUUAAUAGUUUAGAAUUGUUUUCU
Molecule: long non-coding RNA, 796 nt
Organism: Beta vulgaris subsp. vulgaris (sugar beet)
Lineage: Eukaryota; Viridiplantae; Streptophyta; Magnoliopsida; Caryophyllales; Amaranthaceae
Exons: 4
Source: RefSeq, a predicted model, not a curated record